UACGUAGGGGGCAAGCGUUGUCCGGAAUCAUUGGGCGUAAAGAGCGUGUAGGCGGUUCGGUAAGUCGGCUGUGAAAGUCCAGGGCUCAACCCUGGGAUGCCGGUCGAUACUGCCGGACUAGAGUUCGGAAGAGGCGAGUGGAAUUCCCGGUGUAGCGGUGAAAUGCGCAGAUAUCAGGAGGAACACCAAUUGCGAAGGCAGCUCGCUGGGACGUUACUGACGCUGAGACGCGAAAGCGUGGGGAGCAAACAGG
Molecule: ribosomal RNA, 253 nt
Filed under: uncultured bacterium
Lineage: Bacteria
Description: partial 16S ribosomal RNA
Rfam family: Bacterial small subunit ribosomal RNA
Source: RNAcentral